RNAcentral lists this long non-coding RNA (718 nucleotides) under Homo sapiens (human). RNAcentral describes it as "HSALNT0398921". The record is from RNAcentral. Lineage: Eukaryota; Metazoa; Chordata; Mammalia; Primates; Hominidae.
AGGUAAUUUUCCAGGCACUGCUCAGCAUCCUUGGAGAGGCAUCAUCAUGAAAUUACAGAGAGAACAGGCAGUGGAGAAGGAGCUGUUUCUCCCCAACCACAUGCAUCUGCAAGAGUGAGGAGUGGAACAGGCAGAGCCAGAGAACAGCAGAGUUGAGGUUUUCCAAGGAGGUACAUGCAGCAGAAUAUGCAAGAGAUUCGAGUGUGUCCAGAGGAAUUUAUCCUAACAAUUGACCAUGGAAGGUGACCAGAUGGGUGUGAAGAUAGUGUCUUGCAAUGUCGCCCAGGCUGGAGUGCAGUGGUGCCCCUCCUGUUGUGAAUAGUCCUGCUCUUGUCGCCCAGGCACGACCUCAGUGUGGCAUGAUCAUUCAGUGGCACAUUCUCAGCUCACUGCAACCUCGAGAUCGCUCAGUGGCACGAACUCGGCUCACUGCAGCCUCCGCCUCCCGGGUUCAAACGAUUCUCCUGCCUCAUCCUCCCGAGUAGCUGGGAUUACAGGCGCCCGCCAUCAUGCCCGGCUAAUUUUUGUAUUUUUAGUAGAGACGGGGUUUCACCGUGUUGGCCAGGCUGGUCUCGAACUCCUGACCUCAGGUGAUCCACCCCCAUCAGCCUCCCGAAGUGAAAAACCACAGUUUGUUUACCCAUUAUCCACUCCUCCCUUGAUGGACACUUCAGUUUCUCUACUUUUGACUAUUAUGAAUAAAGCUGCUAUAAACACG